AGUGAACGCUGGCGGUAGGCCUAACACAUGCAAGUCGAACGGCAGCACAGUAAGAGCUUGCUCUUACGGGUGGCGAGUGGCGGACGGGUGAGGAAUACAUCGGAAUCUACUUUUUCGUAGGGGAUAACGUAGGGAAACUUACGCUAAUACCGCAUACGACCUACGGGUGAAAGCAGGGGAUCUUCGGACCUUGCGCGAUUGAAUGAGCCGAUGUCGGAUUAGCUAGUUGGCGGGGUAAAGGCCCACCAGGGCGACGAUCCGUAGCUGGUCUGAGAGGAUGAUCAGCCACACUGGAACUGAGACACGGUCCAGACUCCUACGGGAGGCAGCAGUGGGGAAUAUUGGACAAUGGGCGCAAGCCUGAUCCAGCCAUACCGCGUGGGUGAAGAAGGCCUUCGGGUUGUAAAGCCCUUUUGUUGGGAAAGAAAAGCAGCAGGUUAAUACCCCGCUGUUCUGACGGUACCCAAAGAAUAAGCACCGGCUAACUUCGUG
Molecule: ribosomal RNA, 492 nt
Filed under: uncultured bacterium
Lineage: Bacteria
Description: partial 16S ribosomal RNA
Rfam family: Bacterial small subunit ribosomal RNA
Source: RNAcentral